AGCUUUGCACAGUGGCAAUGUCAUAGCCAAUGAGGUUUAUCUGAGUCAGGCACAGUUACUGCUAAUUAAAAACUCCCAAUACCCUGCUGUGAUGACUUGCAAUAUAGCUGUCACUGGCAAUUUUUGAGGGUCUCUAUGGAGA
Molecule: small nuclear RNA, 142 nt
Organism: Nycticebus coucang (slow loris)
Lineage: Eukaryota; Metazoa; Chordata; Mammalia; Primates; Lorisidae
Product: U4 spliceosomal RNA
Exons: 1
Source: RefSeq, a predicted model, not a curated record